GGACACAACACUGCGGAGCCACACAGCGAGCCUCCCGGAGAGACAUGGCCCUCCCUCCGCCCGGCACGUCCAGGGCGCUGAGGCAGGGAGCUGCACGGGUCAUCACGCCGCCCAGGCCGAGCAGCGAUUGGUCCUUUUGAACUGCCGAACACCUGGUGCGGAGCAGCCAUUGGUCAACUUGUAACGGUUCUUUUCAACUCCGACCGAUGCCGAGCAGCGAUUGGUCCGUUUGAACUGCCGAACGCCUGAUAUAAAGCAGCAAUUGGUCAACCCGUAACGGUUCUUUUCAACUCCGACGUGAGUACAUUUCACAGCCUUUUUUUUGUUUGAGCUUGAGCGGAAAGGUCGAUGAACCCCAGACUCAAUUAGUUUUUGCCGCCCUCUGUUUUAUUUUAAUUGGAAACUGCUAUUAUCAAAAUAAUCUGUAAUGAGUAACUAGAUUGUGAUUGCGUACCUAAUUGGUAUGACCUGAAGUUGCCAGGACUAAUGUAAACCGACACCUGUCAUCACAAUC
Branchiostoma floridae (Florida lancelet) is the source of this 514-nucleotide long non-coding RNA. RefSeq lists it as uncharacterized. The record is from RefSeq and is a predicted model, not a curated record. The transcript is spliced from 2 exons. Lineage: Eukaryota; Metazoa; Chordata; Leptocardii; Amphioxiformes; Branchiostomatidae.